CCUACGGGAGGCAGCAGUGAGGAAUAUUGGUCAAUGGUCGAGAGGCUGAACCAGCCAAGUCGCGUGAGGGAAGACGGCCCUACGGGUUGUAAACCUCUUUUGUCGGGGAGCAAAGAGAGUCACGUGUGCAGUAUUGAAAGUACCCGAAGAAAAAGCAUCGGCUAACUCCGUGCCAGCAGCCGCGGUAAUACUGAGGAUGCGAGCGUUAUCCGGAUUUAUUGGGUUUAAAGGGAGCGCAGGCGGAUGUGCAAGUCAGCGGUCAAAUGACGGGGCUCAACCCGGUACUGCUGUGGAAACUGGAUGCCUUGAGGGCGCGAGAGGUAUGCGGAAUGCGUGGGGUAGCGGUGAAAUGCUUAGAUAUCACGCAGAACUCCGAUGGCGAAGGCAGCAUACCGGCGCGCAACUGACGCUGAUGCACGAAAGCGUGGGUAUCGAACAGGAUUAGAUACCCUUGUAGUC
This 459-nucleotide ribosomal RNA is filed under the name uncultured bacterium. RNAcentral describes it as "partial 16S ribosomal RNA". It matches the Rfam family "Bacterial small subunit ribosomal RNA", at positions 338 to 795 of the family's 1533-position model. The record is from RNAcentral.